UAUCUCUCCUUAUUCAACAUUUUUUGGUGUUGGAUACAGGGACUUGGGGUCUUUCUCGUCGGAACUCUCUCUCACGAUUGUGUCCCGGUGAACCCUUUAAAUACAGCAAGCUCCCAUCUGUAUUGGAAAUACGCAAACUUGGGGAUGGCGUCGUAGCAAUCACUCUUAUCGGUAUUGUCGAAGCGCCUAUACGUACCUCUAAACUGCGGUGUCAAUCCUUUCUCAUGGGCGAAGCUUGGCGACUGGCAAAGCGCCAUACUCCUCUUUACUGGAGUACACGAACAA
Molecule: unclassified non-coding RNA, 285 nt
Filed under: uncultured Ramicandelaber
Lineage: Eukaryota; Fungi; Kickxellomycota; Kickxellomycetes; Kickxellales; Kickxellaceae
Description: sequence contains ITS2
Source: RNAcentral